RNA transcript from Zea mays, 2689 nucleotides. It is a transcript of the gene named pre-mRNA-splicing factor CWC21, with no coding region annotated. The transcript has 5 exons. NCBI's taxonomy places the organism in Eukaryota, Viridiplantae, Streptophyta, Magnoliopsida, Poales, Poaceae. The record is from RefSeq and is a predicted model, not a curated record.
CGGACUCUCGGAGAAUAUAAUCCAACCGGCUCCUCCCUUGCUUCUCAUCUCACAUGUAAUUUCGUCCUAGCCAGGCUUCCCUUGCCCUAGGAUUGCGCCGCCGCCGAUCCAACCGGCUUCUCCCCGCCCGACGGCCGCGAUGUACAACGGCAUCGGGCUGCAGACCGCGCGGGGGUCGGGCACCAACGGUUACGCGCAGAGCAACACGUUCUUCGUCAAGCCCCGCCCCCGCUCCACCACAUCCGGCGGGGGUCCGGGCAGGCCCCACAGGCCGCUGCCCCCCGACGCCGCCGGCGCGGAUGGCGGCGGGAUGCGAAAGCCCAACAAGGAGAUCCUCGAGCACGACCGCAAGCGCCAAGUCGAGCUCAAGCUGCUCGUGCUCAGGGACGCGCUCGAGGAGCACGGCUACACCGAAGACGAGAUCGAGGAGCGCGUCGCGGAGGCGCGCAAGGCCGCGGAGGCAGAGGCGGCCGCGGCCGUGGCAGCGGAGGAGGCAGGGAGCGGUCGUGGCGCCGGGCGACCGCCUCUGCCCGUGAGAGGGUUAGACCUCAGCUGGCCAAGACGGAGGUAGCGCACAUAGGUCAAGUUGCUCUGGUGACAACCUGAAUUGCUUGAAACAUCUAUGGAACCGUCCAGCAGAUGGCGCACCCGACAGAAGCGGCAGCGUCCCGAUGGACGCGUUUGCCAAGGAUCAAGGCGUGUUGCAGGUGUGUGGUGGGGGAGGAUCGGAGGAGGCCCACUGCGGGUGCGAGCCGGUGGAGCACAGCAAGAACGGGAAGAGGUGGAGGAGGCCUUUGCAGGUGCGAGCCGGUGGAGCACAACAAGAACGAGAAGAGGCAGAGGAGGCCAGGGCGUGAGGGAGAGGUUGCGGACGAUGGGCGCAUGCUGCGACGUGAAUUGUGGUGGCACCGGGAAAGCUCGGAGAGCACAACAAAAUCAGUCGUCUUUUAAGAACUCCGAUAUAAGAGUCUUAGAUUGCACAAGCUAACUAAUUUUCCACACAAGCCUGUAGACAUCUGGGAAAAGAUCCGCAUAGUCAUUAUUGGUCGAAUCGUGAUGCCAAGGGCAAUGGAAAAUGAACAAACUGGAUGUGGUUGGUACUAUACCCGAGGAGCCGAGGAACCUCAGACACUUGACAACUCUGAAUUUACAACAGAAUUACUUAACAGGGCCUUCGCCAUCGUUCCUUCUUCCUUGGAGAAUUGACUGCUUUGCAACAGAUGUGAGAUAGAUUUAAAACUUAAAUUACUCCAUGAUCUGGAUAACAUCGAAACCUAAACCUAAUUCUUCUCCCUUCAUCAACACACAAGGUCGCUUUCUGGCAAUGCAUUAUCAGGAAGUAUUCCUAAGGAGCUGGGGAACCUUGUCAAUCUCAUAAUCCUGUAAGAAAUGGACUUUGUAGUGUCAUGACCUAUCUGAUAAGAAAUAUAGAUUUACAAAAAACGUGUCCUCAAUUUAACUCACGUGCAUGUACAUAUCACAACUAUUCAGGUGUGUAAUCACCACUGAAUUAAAUGCAUGACAAUUUAACUUGCCUCAAACCACUUCAAGCUCUUCCUAUUAGAGAGGAAACAAAUUUACGUCUUCGUUUAUUCUACCAGUUAUCAUCAUGCUUCUAUGGUAAGGAUAUUCCACCCACAAAUUUAAUGCUUCUAACCUGGUCUUACUAUUUAUGUGAUUUUUGGAGUUUAGGCACGAACAAUUUAACUGGCUCCCUUCCUUCUGAAUUAGGUAACCUGGUUAAUGGCAAUGAUCCUAUUGUCGACAGUUGACACUCGAGCUUAACAUUCCCAAAAAAGCUUCUUUUAUUCAGGUCUGAAUAAUCUAUCCAAAUCAACUGCAAAGUUUCAAGGGCGAAUAAAUAUUCUUAGGUCUUUGAAAAUUCCAAGUAAUCUGAACUUAUUGACCUGCUACGAAGAAACAUUCAAUCAAAUGAGUGAUAUGCCUAAGUAUACAUUAUUUGCAAAUGCUACAAUAUAUAACAUUAAAAGCUAAAAGGCUAUAAUUGUACAGUUUAAUAUAAGGCUGUUAAGAUUAGUAUUGUAGUACAAUGUGAGGGGAUCAUUUGGUACCCAUCUGUAAUAUCUGAAUUCUUAAUUGUAUGUCCUUUUCCUAGAAGGCAUUUCAGAUUUACUCCUUGAAGCGAUCGGCAUAUGCUGUUGUGCUGAGAGCAUUCUGUGCUCAGUCAGACCUUCUCUCAAGGUUACGUCCUCAUAUGGUGAUUUCAUAUGUGAAGUAUUACUAAACAAAUUAUAAUUAGUAGGAACUAUGGUGAUUUCAUACUCUAUGUUGUUUGAGAAAAAAAUUCUACAAACUGUACUUUGUUAGUUUAUUUCCAUUUGUGAUUUUAUUUUAUGAGGAAAUAGAAUGUGUUUCUAAUGCUUUAGCAAAUCUGUCUAUAGCAUAUGAUUUGUAUAGUUGUCUAUGGAAAUCUAAUGCACUUAUUGCUUCCAGUUUCACUUAACAGCAUGAUAGAUUUUCUAGAUGCGGACUUCCGUUCUCUUCCGACUAUGCAACAGAGGCGGCAGCACUGUCCUGUAAAAAAUAUUUCUACAAACUGUAUUUCUCUGUACUUCGUUAGUUUAUUUCCAUUUGCGAUGUUAUUUUCCGAGGAAAUAGAAUGUGUUUUUAAUGCUUUAGUAAAUCUGUCUCUAGCAUAUGAUUUGUAUAAUUGUCUAUGGAAAUAUAA